GAAAAAGAGGGAGAGAGAGAGAGAGCUGUAACAUUACAAUUUUCUUUUAUCAGAACUAACAGUCCAAAGCUGUUCAUGCACAAGCUCUAUGAAGACAUGGUUUGCCAAAGUGGAACAGUACUAACAGUACAAAGCCCUCAUGCACAAGCUCUAUGAAGACAUGGUUUGCCAAAGUGGAGAGGAAGAACUCAAACAGGAUGCUCUGACCUCAGCCACAGCAAAUCCCUGAUCUCACUAAUGUUCCUGUGGCUGAACAAGCACGGCUCCGUGAUCGAGCAGAAUUCUCCUUCCCAGAAGAGUGGAGAUUCUUAUCAGAGCAAAGGGUGAGAUGAAAAGUUGAAUGCAUCAUUCAACAGGAACAUACUGUGUACUGAUCAGGUUGUCUUCCAUGCAGAUGUCACAUGUCACAUUGCUGGUGCAGUUUUGUCCCCUUUCCACCAGAAAGAACUGGGGGCCGGUUCAGAACCUUCUAAGAACCGGUUUGCCUUUUUCCAUGGGCUAGAGACCCAUCACAGAGCCGAGUCUUACGUCAUUGUAUAAAACGUUAUACAGUAACGUUAGCGCAGCGGCAGCAAACACAACAUCAACAACGGCGGAUGUUGCUUUACUGUUAAUGCUCAUGGCUUUGUGAACCUACACUGGCAUCUAAAUCUGAUUUGAAAUGAUAUAAAAAUGGCACUAACGACGUUCUAUUUUGUCUUGUUGGUCACAGUAACCCCGCUUCCAGCCCCUGACGCAAGCUGUUCUUAAGACUAGACCAGCAAUAUUUUGGUGCUACUUAAAAAACACUUUUCCUGGUUCAGAGCCGGUGCUUUGGGUGUUGAAAAAGAAAGAACUGAUUUUAAAUCAGGCUCUGAACCAGCACUCAAACUGCCUUGUUGGAAAAGGGCCACUAAAAGUGGUGGUUAAUAGAGAAACAAAACUCAAUCACAAAGGUCAGAUUUUGCUGUUAGCCCCAAAACACAAGAGGUGCUUUUUUCAUUCUUGAUUCUCCACCAUGGAAGAGAAAUCCACUGUAAAAGAUCCUGGUGCAAAUGUUGGCUUUAUAGGUGGAUUUUCCCUACUGGCAACUCGUCCACUGUAUUCCAAGAGAAUUAAAUCAAAUAUACACUAGAAAUCCAACAAACAUAAUCUUGAACUACACUUUGUGACACAUCGUAAUGCUUAUUUAAACUAAUUAGAUUUGCCAAUAUUAUAUCCUGCACAUUCAAAUAAGACACGGUGUAAAACUCCUUCAAACAGAACAUUUUAAUAUCUUGUGCAAAUGAUGUAGGAGAUAAAGUGUAAACCCGACAACGAAUCAAGGUUAUGGUACAAAUGAAAACAGUACAAUAAGGCAUGACCUCAACAUGCUGUAGAUUGCAUGCGAGGAAUUUAAGAGGCUUCGAUGGAGAGAAAAUACAGUAUAAUAAAAAUCACAAAUAAACAAAACUAUAUGACAGAUGCCUAUAUAUUAGAGAGAAUUUGUUCUUGUUCAGUGUUUACAUCUUCUGGAUCAUCACCUGGAAUUUA
Long non-coding RNA from Tachysurus fulvidraco (yellow catfish), 1512 nucleotides. RefSeq lists it as uncharacterized. NCBI's taxonomy places the organism in Eukaryota, Metazoa, Chordata, Actinopteri, Siluriformes, Bagridae. The record is from RefSeq and is a predicted model, not a curated record. The transcript has 2 exons.